UGGGGAAUUUUGGACAAUGGGCGAAAGCCUGAUCCAGCAAUGCCGCGUGUGUGAAGAAGGCCUUCGGGUUGUAAAGCACUUUUGUCCGGAAAGAAAUCCUUGGCUCUAAUACAGUCGGGGGAUGACGGUACCGGAAGAAUAAGCACCGGCUAACUACGUGCCAGCAGCCGCGGUAAUACGUAGGGUGCAAGCGUUAAUCGGAAUUACUGGGCGUAAAGCGUGCGCAGGCGGUUUGCUAAGACCGAUGUGAAAUCCCCGGGCUCAACCCGGGAACUGCAUUGGUGACUGGCAGGCUAGAGUAUGGCAGAGGGGGGUAGAAUUCCACGUGUAGCAGUGAAAUGCGUAGAGAUGUGGAGGAAUACCGAUGGCGAAGGCAGCCCCCUGGGCCAAUACUGACGCUCAUGCACGAAAGCGUGGGGAGCAAACAGGAUUAGAUACCCUGGUAGUCCACGCCCUAAAACGAUGUCAACUAGUUGUUGGGGAUUCAUUUCCUUAGUAACGUAGCUAACGCGUGAAGUUGACCGCCUGGGGAGUACGGUCGCAAGAUUAAAACUUAAAUGAAUUGAC
This 567-nucleotide ribosomal RNA is filed under the name uncultured bacterium. RNAcentral's name for it is "partial 16S ribosomal RNA". It matches the Rfam family "Bacterial small subunit ribosomal RNA", at positions 355 to 914 of the family's 1533-position model. The record is from RNAcentral.